AUAAACUAAAAAUCUGAAAAUGAAACCCGGACUCGGCACCGAAACACUGAGCCGGAACCCCGCUAAACCCGUACACCAACUAUAGAGGAGAGAGAUGGGACAACCACCGUACGAGCCUUACUACCUCCACCAAAACCAUCACCCCAACCACCGCCACCAACAACCGGAAUUGACGGAGUAUUACUACCACCAUAGCGUGAAUGAAAGUAUAAACCCUAAUUUGAGCUACACUCAUGAUAUUUCCAUUCCCAAUUCCAGUAAUCCUCCCAGUAUUAGCACCAGUAUUCCAAUACACAUUCCCAAAGAACAGCGCCAUAUCAAUACCCUCUUCGUUUCCGGCCUCCCUGAUGAUGUCAUGCCUCGCGAAAUUCACAACCUUUUCCGCCGUCGUCCCGGGUUCGAGUCCUGCCAGCUCAAGUUCACUGGCCGCGGCAAUCAAGUUGUUGCAUUUGUGACGUUUUAUAACCAUCAAUCAGCUGUGUUGGCAUUACAGUCUUUAGAUGGUGUCAAAUUUGAUCCACAAGCUGGAUCAGUUCUACAUAUUGAAUUGGCUAGAUCAAACUCUAGGCGAAAACAUAAUCCAGGCAGUGGACCUUAUGUUGUGAUCGACAAAAGGAAAAAAUCUUCAGAUAAUGCUGAGGAUACAUCAAGUGAUGAUGGUGAUAAUGAGUCUGAUAAUCAAAGUCAGAGUGAAGAUCCUGACUCUUCCAACAAUAAUGUACAUUCCGCUGUAAAAAGUGAGGAGAAAGUGAAACUUGGUGGCACUGUAGCUGCAGCAAAUUUUUGUUCUUGGUUUUAUCUGCAGGAGCAAACGGAAAAGGCCUCUGGAGGUGAUCUAAGGCCAUGCUCCACCUUGUUUAUUGCUAAUUUAGGCCCUAAUUGCAGUGAGGAUGAACUUAAACAAGCUCUUUCUGAAUAUUCGGGAUUUAAUGGGCUGAAGCUACGUGCUAGAGGUGGUAUGCCAGUUGCAUUUGCGGAUUAUGAGGAAGUAGAACAAGCUACUCAAGCAAUGCAAGCACUUCAGGAUAGCAUGUUGCCAUCAUCAGACAGGGGUGGCAUGCACAUUGAAUAUGCUAGGUCUAAAAUGAGGAAGCCAUAGGCAAAGAAAAAUAUCCCGAUAUUCAAGUGAUUGCUGCAUGAGUGCAUGCUUGUAAGCAAUUGUAGAUGUCCCUUUUCUCUUUGGAGACUUUUCUUAGUAGAUUGACAAGCUGUCGCACACAGAAAGAACAUUUUUUUUUGGUGUUCGACUCCUUUCAGAUUCAUGUGCAAAAACUGCAAAUGUAAAAUCUGAAGAUCAUUUCUGACAUGCAGAAUAUGAAAUCGCACCAUAGCUUUCUGGACAAGAAUCAAGAUUGAUUGUUCCAAGAAAAACAAUAAUUUAGCACUUAUCGGAAAUCCUGAUUCAAAAUGGAAGUCUCAGCUCUCAGUAAACUACAAGCAACCUUUGAGAGUUUUCAGGAUUACAAUGAGUCUCCCUGACAUUUGGCUGUAUUACAUUCUGCCAUUUCAUUUUUCUUGAGCCACAAAACUCUCACACAAAACUCUCAAAUGGAACAAGUAGGACAAAAUAGUACUCCCUCCGUCCCAGAAUAGUCGUUACACUUACCUUUGCACAAAGUUUUAGGUGAUAAGUGGUUGUUUGGUUAUCAAUUGUUAUUUUAUUGAAAAAGUGAAUGUGAUAGAAGUUAAUGGGGUAUUUUUAAUUGAAUGAGAGAGGGGGUGGGGACAAAAAAAAAAUUAGUGGGAAGAGAGUGACAUUAUAAUAAUUGUGGGGUCAUUCCUUAUUUAGAAGUGUAACAACUAAUCUGGGACGAACGAAAAAGGAAAGUGUAACAACUAAUCUGGAACGGAGGGAGUAUUAUUUAAAGCCGAAUAGAGUCAUCAUAUUAAUGAAACAGUUGAAAUUUUUAUACUUCA
RNA transcript from Spinacia oleracea (spinach), 1917 nucleotides. It is a transcript of the gene named protein WHI3, with no coding region annotated. The record is from RefSeq and is a predicted model, not a curated record. The transcript has 11 exons. Lineage: Eukaryota; Viridiplantae; Streptophyta; Magnoliopsida; Caryophyllales; Amaranthaceae.